UAUCAUUGGAAAGAUAUUUCAAUCUAUUUUCAGAUAAAAUAAGUCUCGUAUGAAUCGAAGUUUCCAACAAAGAGUUACAAUUGAUUUAGUAACAAAAGGUCAGAAAACAAAAUCAUUGUUUUGCAUAAUCCAAAGGGUCGGAUUCAAUAGAUAACUGAGCAGACAUUUGGACUCUAAAUCUUUUAAUCCAGGUAUCAAAAGAAAGAUCUACGAGUCUAGUUUCUAAUGAAAUUAGAUUUGAACAAAUCAGAGUUUCCAACAUUGACUUAUAGGCAAAUCAGUAUCAAAAGGUCAGAAAUUACGAUCCUUGUUUUGCAGAAUCUGUAGGCUCAUUUGACACAAAAGUUUGGGCAGAUAAACUUACUAUGAAUUCUUAAAAUAAGCUAUCAAAAGAAAGUUUAUGAGUCUAUAUUCUGAUCAAAUAAGUUUUAUCCAAAUCAGAGGUCAAUACGUGAAGUUAUAACCAUACAAAGGUAGAAAGGUCAGAAUCUCAAGAGUUGCACAGAUUCGAAUCGUUACGUCUAAACAAGAGAUAUAUCAAAUACAAGGCUAGAACAAUUCAAUGUUCCUCAUAUUCAAAGCAAAUGUAGAGAUAAAAUUAUAAUAAGGAAAGAUCAGGACACUUGCAAUAGGAAAGAUUAGAACAAUAACAGGAGAAACGAUCGGGAAACUUGCAAUAGUUAAGAUCGGAAAACUUACAAUAGGAAGGAUUGGAAAGCUUGCAAUAGAAAGGAUCGAAACACUUACAAUAAGAAAAAUUAGAACAAUAACAGGAGAAACUAUUUGGAAACUUGCAAUAGAAAGGAUCAAAAUAUUUGCAAUAGAAAGGCUUAAAACAAUAACAGGAGAAACGAUCGGGAAACUUGCCUUUUGAAGGUUUUGGUCCAAAGAUUUGAAGAAGGUGUACGCUCGAAUCCUUUUUCUACUUUUCCUCCGUCCCCUCCUUGUUUCGUUUUGUGCACUCGUUUUCUUUCUUUCUUCGCAACUACACCACGUGCCGAAUAUCGAGGCACAGUCACUUGCUCUCUCUUACUCUCAUUCCUUCUUUUUCUUUCCCAAACGCAGCUGCCACAACCACCGUCGCUGCUGCAACAGUUGCUGCCCCUUCCACCGCACUGUCUUCUUUCUCCCCUUCUUUCGCAGACACAGCUGCUGCAUACGCAGUCUCUGCCACUGCAGCCGUAAUCCCGUCCGCAGCCCCUUUAAUCCCCUUUCCUUUCCUUUCUUUCCCAGCUGCAACUGCCGCAGUCGGAGUCGCAGCCAUGGCCGCAGCCACCACAACCACAGCCUCUUCUUCCUCCCCUGCUCUAUUUCCUCUCCUUCUCUUCCAGCUGCAGCUGCCACUGCCACAGCUGCCUCCCCUUCUCCUCUUCCUCUCUUCUUCCCUUUUCCUUUCUCGUCUUCUUCCUUUCC
Molecule: long non-coding RNA, 1413 nt
Filed under: Musa acuminata (dwarf banana)
Lineage: Eukaryota; Viridiplantae; Streptophyta; Magnoliopsida; Zingiberales; Musaceae
Description: long non-coding RNA (MACU_LNC011798)
Source: RNAcentral